UGCAGUCGAGGGGUAACAGGGAGCUUGCUCCGCUGACGACCGGCGCACGGGUGCGCACCGCGUAUGGAACCUACCUUGUACAGGGGAAUAGCCUUUGGAAACGAAGAUUAAUGCCCCGUGGUACCACGACCCGGCAUCGGGAUGUGGUUAAAGCCUUCGGGCGGUACAAGAUGGCCAUGCGUCCCAUUAGCUUGUUGGUAAGGUAACGGCUUACCAAGGCUACGAUGGGUAGGGGCCCUGAGAGGGGGAUCCCCCACACUGGUACUGAGACACGGACCAGACUCCUACGGGAGGCAGCAGUGAGGAAUAUUGGACAAUGGAGGAGACUCUGAUCCAGCCAUGCCGCGUGCAGGAAGAAUGCCCUAUGGGUAGUAAACUGCUUUUAUACGGGAAGAAAAAGAGCUACGUGUAGCUUACUGACGGUACCGUAAGAAUAAGGACCGGCUAACUCCGUGCCAGCAGCCGCGGUAAUACGGAGGGUCCGAGCGUUAUCCGGAAUUAUUGGGUUUAAAGGGUCCGUAGGCGGGCCGAUAAGUCAGGGGUGAAAGUUUGCAGCUCAACUGUAAAAUUGCCUUUGAUACUGUUGGUCUUGAGUUAUAGUGAAGUUGCCGGAAUAUGUAGUGUAGCGGUGAAAUGCAUAGAUAUUACAUAGAACACCGAUUGCGAAGGCAGGUGACUAACUAUAUACUGACGCUGAUGGACGAAAGCGUGGGGAGCGAACAGGAUUAGAUACCCUGGUAGUCCACGCCGUAAACGAUGGAUACUAGCUGUCCGGGACCUUGAGUUCUGGGCGGCCAAGCGAAAGUGAUAAGUAUCCCACCUGGGGAGUACGUUCGCAAGAAUGAAACUCAAGGAAUUGACGGGGGCCCCGCACAAGCGGUGGAGCAUGUGGUUUAAUUCGAUGAUACGCGAGGAACCUUACCAGGGCUUAAAUGCAUAUUGACAGGUCUAGAGAUAGAUUUUCCUUCGGGCAAUUUGCAAGGUGCUGCAUGGUUGUCGUCAGCUCGUGCCGUGAGGUGUCAGGUUAAGUCCUAUAACGAGCGCAACCCCUACCGUUAGUUGCCAGCAUGUCAUGAUGGGGACUCUAACGGGACUGCCGGUGCAAACCGUGAGGAAGGUGGGGAUGACGUCAAAUCAUCACGGCCCUUACGUCCUGGGCCACACACGUGCUACAAUGGCAGGUACAGAGAGCAGCCAUGUCGCAAGGCAGAGCGAAUCUAUAAAACCUGUCACAGUUCGGAUCGGGGUCUGCAACUCGACCCCGUGAAGCUGGAAUCGCUAGUAAUCGGAUAUCAGCCAUGAUCCGGUGAAUACGUUCCCGGGCCUUGUACACACCGCCCGUCAAGCCAUGGAAGCCGGGAGUGCCUGAAGUCCGUCACCGUAAGGAGC
RNAcentral lists this ribosomal RNA (1389 nucleotides) under marine bacterium IIA017. RNAcentral's name for it is "bacterial SSU rRNA". It matches the Rfam family "Bacterial small subunit ribosomal RNA". The record is from RNAcentral.